GACAGUUUGGCCGAGUGGUCUAGGCGCUGGCUGCAGGCGUCAGUCCGCAAUGGCGUGGGUUCGAAUCCCACAGCUGUAA
Molecule: transfer RNA, 79 nt
Filed under: Perkinsus marinus ATCC 50983
Lineage: Eukaryota; Perkinsozoa; Perkinsida; Perkinsidae
Rfam family: tRNA
About the family: Transfer RNA (tRNA) molecules are approximately 80 nucleotides in length. Their secondary structure includes four short double-helical elements and three loops (D, anti-codon, and T loops). Further hydrogen bonds mediate the characteristic L-shaped molecular structure. tRNAs have two regions of fundamental functional importance: the anti-codon, which is responsible for specific mRNA codon recognition, and the 3' end, to which the tRNAs corresponding amino acid is attached (by aminoacyl-tRNA synthetases). tRNAs cope with the degeneracy of the genetic code in two manners: having more than one tRNA (with a specific anti-codon) for a particular amino acid; and 'wobble' base-pairing, i.e. permitting non-standard base-pairing at the 3rd anti-codon position.
Source: Rfam by way of RNAcentral